Haemonchus contortus (barber pole worm) is the source of this 73-nucleotide non-coding RNA. NCBI's taxonomy places the organism in Eukaryota, Metazoa, Nematoda, Chromadorea, Rhabditida, Trichostrongylidae. The record is from Rfam.
GGCCAAAACUUGAAGUAGAGUAGAUUGGUAGGAUCAGCUGACCAUACUAAUGUACUCUAUUUCAAGUUUGCCC